Molecule: ribosomal RNA, 253 nt
Filed under: uncultured bacterium
Lineage: Bacteria
Description: partial 16S ribosomal RNA
Rfam family: Bacterial small subunit ribosomal RNA
Source: RNAcentral
UACGAGAGGCCCAAACGUUAUUCGGAAUUACUGGGCUUAAAGAGUUCGUAGGCGGCGCAGAAAGUAGGGUGUGAAAGCCCUCGGCUCAACCGAGGAAUUGCGCUCUAAACUACUGUGCUUGAGGAAUCUAGAGGUGAGCGGAACUGAUGGUGGAGCGGUGAAAUGCGUUGAUAUCAUCAGGAACACCGGAGGCGAAGGCGGCUCACUGGGGAUUUUCUGACGCUGAGGAACGAAGGCCAGGGGAGCAAACGGG